Molecule: transfer RNA, 73 nt
Filed under: Chloroflexota bacterium
Lineage: Bacteria; Bacillati; Chloroflexota
Also listed under: 4 other names
Description: Chloroflexi bacterium tRNA-Trp
Rfam family: tRNA
About the family: Transfer RNA (tRNA) molecules are approximately 80 nucleotides in length. Their secondary structure includes four short double-helical elements and three loops (D, anti-codon, and T loops).
Source: RNAcentral
ACGGCAGUAGCUCAACUGGCAGAGCAACGGUCUCCAAAACCGUAGGUUGAGAGUUCGAGUCUCUCCUGCCGUG